Molecule: long non-coding RNA, 219 nt
Organism: Anguilla rostrata (American eel)
Lineage: Eukaryota; Metazoa; Chordata; Actinopteri; Anguilliformes; Anguillidae
Exons: 4
Source: RefSeq, a predicted model, not a curated record
CGUGCGUGCGCAGACUUCCCUGCAGCGUGCGUGCGCAGACUUCCCUGCAGCGUGCACGCGCAGACUUCCCUGCGGCGUGCGUGCGUACUUCUCUGCGGCGUGCGUGCAUACUUCCCUGCGGCGUGCGUGCGUGCUUCCCUGCGGUGUGCGCAGACUUCCCUGCGGCGUGCGUGCGCAGACUUCCCUGCGGCGUGCGUGCGCAGACUUCCCUGCGGCGUG